UACGGGGGGGGCAAGCGUUGUUCGGAAUUAUUGGGCGUAAAGCGCACGUAGGCGGCCUUGUAAGUCUCACUGUGAAAGUCCGGGGCUCAACCCCGGGAUGCCAGGGGAUACUGCGAGGCUUGAGACAAGUAGAGGUUGGUAGAAUUCCGGGUGUAGCGGUGGAAUGCGUAGAGAUCCGGAGGAAUACCAGAGGCGAAGGCGGCCAACUGGGCUUGUUCUGACGCUGAGGUGCGAAAGCGUGGGGAGCGAACAGG
This 254-nucleotide ribosomal RNA is filed under the name uncultured bacterium. Its description in RNAcentral is "partial 16S ribosomal RNA". It matches the Rfam family "Bacterial small subunit ribosomal RNA", at positions 524 to 776 of the family's 1533-position model. The record is from RNAcentral.